AUACGUAGGGUGCGAGCGUUGUCCGGAAUUACUGGGCGUAAAGAGCUCGUAGGUGGUUUGUCGCGUCGUCUGUGAAAUUCCGGGGCUUAACUCCGGGCGUGCAGGCGAUACGGGCAUAACUUGAGUACUGUAGGGGAGACUGGAAUUCCUGGUGUAGCGGUGAAAUGCGCAGAUAUCAGGAGGAACACCGGUGGCGAAGGCGGUUUUCUGGGUGGUAACUUAGGCUGAGGAGCGAAAGCAUGGGUAGGGAACAGGAUUGGAAACCUUGGUAGUCCUUGCCGUAAACGGUGUGCGCUAGGUGUAGGGGUCUUCCACGACUUCUGUGCCGUAGCUAACGCAUUAAGCGCCCCGCCUGGGGAGUACGGCCGCAAGGCUAAAACUCAAAUGAAUUGACGGGG
Molecule: ribosomal RNA, 398 nt
Filed under: uncultured bacterium
Lineage: Bacteria
Description: partial 16S ribosomal RNA
Rfam family: Bacterial small subunit ribosomal RNA
Source: RNAcentral